RNAcentral lists this ribosomal RNA (479 nucleotides) under uncultured bacterium. RNAcentral's name for it is "bacterial SSU rRNA". It matches the Rfam family "Bacterial small subunit ribosomal RNA", at positions 28 to 507 of the family's 1533-position model. The record is from RNAcentral. RNAcentral also lists the same sequence under 1 other name.
GACGAACGCUGGCGGCGUGCCUAAUACAUGCAAGUCGAGCGAAGGAUAGGUUACGAGCCUUCGGGCGAGGGACCUAUUACUUAGCGGCGAACGGGUGAGUAACGCGUGGGCAACCUGCCCCCCAGACUGGGAUAACAGCUCGAAAGGGCUGCUAAUACCGGAUGAGCCUCUGGUGCCGCAUGGUGCUGGAGGGAAAGCGGUUCAGCGCUGGGGGAUGGGCCCGCGUCCCAUUAGCUAGUUGGUGAGGUAACGGCUCACCAAGGCGACGAUGGGUAGCCGGCCUGAGAGGGUGGACGGCCACACUGGGACUGAGACACGGCCCAGACUCCUACGGGAGGCAGCAGUAGGGAAUAUUGCGCAAUGGGGGGAACCCUGACGCAGCGACGCCGCGUGAGCGAAGAAGGCCUUCGGGUCGUAAAGCUCUGUCCUAUGGGAAGAAGGAGACGGUACCAUAGGAGGAAGCCCCGGCUAACUACGUG